CAGCCGCCACGGGAAUACGAAGGGUGCAAGCGUUACUCGGAAUUACUGGGCGUAAAGCGUGCGUAGGUGGUGGUUUAAGUCCGUUGUGAAAGCCCUGGGCUCAACCUGGGAAUUGCAGUGGAUACUGGGUCACUAGAGUGUGGUAGAGGAUAGUGGAAUUUCCGGUGUAGCAGUGAAAUGCGUAGAGAUCGGGAGGAACAUCAGUGGCGAAGGCGGCCAUCUGGGACAACACUGACGCUGAGGCACGAAAGCGUGGGGAGCAAACAGGAUUAGAUACCCCCGUAGUCCCUGUCUCUUAUAC
RNAcentral lists this ribosomal RNA (301 nucleotides) under uncultured bacterium. Its description in RNAcentral is "partial 16S ribosomal RNA". It matches the Rfam family "Bacterial small subunit ribosomal RNA", at positions 509 to 807 of the family's 1533-position model. The record is from RNAcentral.